CCCUUAGAUGUCCUGGGCCGCACGCGCGCUACACUGAUGCAUUCAACGAGUCUACCUUGGCCGAGAGGCCUGGGCAACCUUUUAAACGUGCAUCGUGAUAGGGAUAGAUUAUUGCAAUUAUUAAUCUUGAACGAGGAAUUCCUAGUAAACGCAAAUCAUCAAUUUGCAUUGAUUACGUCCCUGCACUUUGUACACACCGCCCGUCGCACCUACCGAUUGAAUGGUCCGGUGAGGACUCGGGAUUUUUACCAGUUUCCUUCAUUGGGAAUUGGCGAGGAGAACUUGUCCAAACCUUAUCAUUUAGAGGAAGGUGAAGUCGUAACA
Molecule: ribosomal RNA, 324 nt
Filed under: uncultured eukaryote
Lineage: Eukaryota
Description: partial 18S ribosomal RNA
Rfam family: Eukaryotic small subunit ribosomal RNA
Source: RNAcentral